This 530-nucleotide ribosomal RNA is filed under the name uncultured bacterium. RNAcentral describes it as "bacterial SSU rRNA". It matches the Rfam family "Bacterial small subunit ribosomal RNA", at positions 355 to 896 of the family's 1533-position model. The record is from RNAcentral.
UGGGGAAUAUUGCACAAUGGGCGGAAGCCUGAUGCAGCGACGCCGCGUGGGGGAUGAAGGCCUUCGGGUUGUAAACUCCUUUCGACAGGGACGAAGCGUAAGUGACGGUACCUGUAUAAGAAGCACCGGCUAACUACGUGCCAGCAGCCGCGGUAAUACGUAGGGUGCGAGCGUUGUCCGGAAUUACUGGGCGUAAAGAGCUCGUAGGUGGUUUGUCGCGUCGUCUGUGAAAUUCCGGGGCUUAACUCCGGGCGUGCAGGCGAUACGGGCUGACUUGAGUGCUGUAGGGGAGACUGGAAUUCCUGGUGUAGCGGUGAAAUGCGCAGAUAUCAGGAGGAAUACCGAUGGCGAAGGCAGGUCUCUGGGCAGUAACUGACGCUGAGGAACGAAAGCAUGGGUAGCGAACAGGAUUAGAUACCCUGGUAGUCCAUGCCGUAAACGGUGGGCGCUAGGUGUAGGGGGCUUCCACGUCUUCUGUGCCGUAGCUAACGCAUUAAGCGCCCCGCCUGGGGAGUACGGCCGCAAGGCUA